AGAGUUUGAUCAUGGCUCAGAUUGAACGCUGGCGGCAGGCCUAACACAUGCAAGUCGAGCGGUAGCACAGAGAGCUUGCUCUCGGGUGACGAGCGGCGGACGGGUGAGUAAUGUCUGGGAAACUGCCUGAUGGAGGGGGAUAACUACUGGAAACGGUAGCUAAUACCGCAUAACGUCGCAAGACCAAAGUGGGGGACCUUCGGGCCUCAUGCCAUCAGAUGUGCCCAGAUGGGAUUAGCUAGUAGGUGGGGUAACGGCUCACCUAGGCGACGAUCCCUAGCUGGUCUGAGAGGAUGACCAGCCACACUGGAACUGAGACACGGUCCAGACUCCUACGGGAGGCAGCAGUGGGGAAUAUUGCACAAUGGGCGCAAGCCUGAUGCAGCCAUGCCGCGUGUGUGAAGAAGGCCUUCGGGUUGUAAAGCACUUUCAGCGGGGAGGAAGGCGUUAAGGUUAAUAACCUCAUCGAUUGACGUUACCCGCAGAAGAAGCACCGGCUAACUCCGUGCCAGCAGCCGCGGUAAUACGGAGGGUGCAAGCGUUAAUCGGAAUUACUGGGCGUAAAGCGCACGCAGGCGGUCUGUCAAGUCGGAUGUGAAAUCCCCGGGCUCAACCUGGGAACUGCAUUCGAAACUGGCAGGCUAGAGUCUUGUAGAGGGGGGUAGAAUUCCAGGUGUAGCGGUGAAAUGCGUAGAGAUCUGGAGGAAUACCGGUGGCGAAGGCGGCCCCCUGGACAAAGACUGACGCUCAGGUGCGAAAGCGUGGGGAGCAAACAGGAUUAGAUACCCUGGUAGUCCACGCCGUAAACGAUGUCGAUUUGGAGGUUGUGCCCUUGAGGCGUGGCUUCCGGAGCUAACGCGUUAAAUCGACCGCCUGGGGAGUACGGCCGCAAGGUUAAAACUCAAAUGAAUUGACGGGGGCCCGCACAAGCGGUGGAGCAUGUGGUUUAAUUCGAUGCAACGCGAAGAACCUUACCUGGUCUUGACAUCCACAGAACUUAGCAGAGAUGCUUUGGUGCCUUCGGGAACUGUGAGACAGGUGCUGCAUGGCUGUCGUCAGCUCGU
RNAcentral lists this ribosomal RNA (1064 nucleotides) under Klebsiella pneumoniae. RNAcentral describes it as "bacterial SSU rRNA". It matches the Rfam family "Bacterial small subunit ribosomal RNA", at positions 8 to 1063 of the family's 1533-position model. Lineage: Bacteria; Pseudomonadati; Pseudomonadota; Gammaproteobacteria; Enterobacterales; Enterobacteriaceae. The record is from RNAcentral.